CCUUUGUACACACCGCCCGUCGCUACUACCGAUUGAAUGGCUCAGUGAGGCGUCCGGACUGGCCCAGGGAGAUGGGCAACCGUCACCCAGGGCCGGAAAGCUCUCCAAACUCGGUCAUUUAGAGG
This 125-nucleotide ribosomal RNA is filed under the name Marquandomyces marquandii. RNAcentral describes it as "Metarhizium marquandii partial small subunit ribosomal RNA". It matches the Rfam family "Eukaryotic small subunit ribosomal RNA", at positions 1657 to 1779 of the family's 1831-position model. The record is from RNAcentral. Lineage: Eukaryota; Fungi; Ascomycota; Sordariomycetes; Hypocreales; Clavicipitaceae.